AAAUCUGAAAUCCACUUUCUUUUUUCAUAUAGUUUUUAAGUGGAAAAUCCAAAGUCCAUAUUUGGAUUCGAAUUUGUUCGAAAGCCCAUUGGUCGGACAUCGUCUUCACUCUCUCAAUCACUAUUCCAUCGAGGCAUCUACCCAUCGUUCUUUGCUUUCUCAAUCCCUCCCAAUCAAUUGCUGAAAGUUUGAAUUGCUCAAAUCAUAGUUGCAAAUCUCUAAAGAAUCGUACUUUCUCAAUUGCUCUCAUCUCAAUCGGUAGCGUUGAGGUUGGUGAAAGACAAGCGUUAUAUUGUUGGUUGCGUAGGAUACAUAUGAGUGAAGCUGAUGGGCCAUUUGAUGGAUGGAUGGACUCUUGGAUUUCAAUGUUGCUUUUAAAAUUUAAUAAAUAUAGUUUCAGUAUUUUUUUUAUGGAAUAAUACUAUGAACAAUGAGGAUUAGAUGGAUGAAUUGUUCCAAAUCACAUUUGGUUUGAUUUAUUACUUCAAGGAUACGUAGUUGUUAUUGUGCUUCAACCUUCAGACUUCAAAUUGUUUGUUGUUUUGAGAGUUUAUAUUACAUUUUAUUUUAAUAA
Long non-coding RNA from Glycine soja, 574 nucleotides. RefSeq lists it as uncharacterized. The transcript is spliced from 2 exons. NCBI's taxonomy places the organism in Eukaryota, Viridiplantae, Streptophyta, Magnoliopsida, Fabales, Fabaceae. The record is from RefSeq and is a predicted model, not a curated record.